RNAcentral lists this ribosomal RNA (827 nucleotides) under uncultured archaeon. RNAcentral describes it as "bacterial SSU rRNA". It matches the Rfam family "Archaeal small subunit ribosomal RNA", at positions 29 to 865 of the family's 1478-position model. The record is from RNAcentral.
GAUUUCGGGUUAGACUAGCAUGCGAGUCGAUGUAGCAAUACAUGGCGUACUGCUCAGUAACACGUGGACAACCUACCCUCCGGACGGGUAUAAACCCGGGAAACUGGGUAUAAUCCCCGAUAGAUCUCGGUCGCUGGAAAGCCCCGAGAUCGAAAGCUCCGGCGCCAGAGGAUGGGUCUGCGGCCUAUCAGGUAGUAGUGGGUGUAGCGUACCUACUAGCCUACGACGGGUACGGGUUGUGAGAGCAAGAGCCCGGAGAUGGAUUCUGAGACACGAAUCCAGGCCCUACGGGGUGCAGCAGGCGCGAAAACUUUACAAUGCCGGCAACGGCGAUAAGGGGACCUCGAGUGCCAGGUUACAAAUCUGGCUGUCGUGAUGCCUAAAAAGCAUUGCAUAGCAAGGGCCGGGCAAGACCGGUGCCAGCCGCCGCGGUAACACCGGCGGCUCGAGUGGUAACCGUUAUUAUUGGGUCUAAAGGGUCUGUAGCCGGCCGGAUAAGUCUCUUGAGAAAUCCAGCAGCUCAACUGUUGGGCUUUCAGGAGAUACUGUCUGGCUCGAGGCCGGGAGAGGUGAGAGGUACUUCAGGGGUAGGGGUGAAAUCUUGUAAUCCUUGAAGGACCACCAGUGGCGAAGGCGUCUCACCAGAACGGGCCUGACGGCAAGGGACGAAAGCUAGGGGCACGAACCGGAUUAGAUACCCGGGUAGUCCUAGCCGUAAACGAUACUCGCUAGGUGUCGGCCACGGUGCGACCGUUGUCGGUGCCGUAUGGAAGCCGUGAAGCGAGCCACCUGGGAAGUACGGCCGCAAGGCUGAAACUUAAAGGAAU